GUGUCAGCAGCCGCGGUAAUACGUAGGGUGCAAGCGUUAAUCGGAAUUACUGGGCGUAAAGGGUGCGCAGGCGGCUCCGCAUGUCAGGCGUGAAAUCCCCGGGCUUAACCUGGGAAUGGCGCUUGAAACUACGGGGCUCGAGUAUGGCAGAGGGAGGUGGAAUUCCACGUGUAGCGGUGAAAUGCGUAGAGAUGUGGAGGAACACCGAUGGCGAAGGCAGCCUCCUGGGCCAAUACUGACGCUCAUGCACGAAAGCGUGGGGAGCAAACAGGAUUAGAUACCCUGGUAGUCC
This 292-nucleotide ribosomal RNA is filed under the name uncultured bacterium. RNAcentral describes it as "partial 16S ribosomal RNA". It matches the Rfam family "Bacterial small subunit ribosomal RNA", at positions 505 to 796 of the family's 1533-position model. The record is from RNAcentral.